This 7259-nucleotide long non-coding RNA is filed under the name Monomorium pharaonis (pharaoh ant). RNAcentral describes it as "uncharacterized LOC114254257". The record is from RNAcentral. Lineage: Eukaryota; Metazoa; Arthropoda; Insecta; Hymenoptera; Formicidae.
CCCUAACUAUGUGGGAGGCGUCAGGGGGAGGGGGGAGCACCGCCGUGGAGGGGGACUAGCUAGCUUGUUGAGUUAGCGUCGAGGUGGCGGUACAUACACGCGUCAUGGAGAGAGCACCCCCCAGAAAGAGUGGGGUACAAACGUGGUCCAGGUAGGGAACGGGUGACCGAGUGGUAACAUAAAGCCCAACAUGCGCAGGCCUACGGUUAGUUUGCGACCGGACGAGCGACUGUGCGCUUGCGUGACCCUCGGAGGGUUCUCUCCUUCUCUUUUGCUUCGUCGUUCGCUUUUUCACCUUGUUUCUCGCAGUACACUCGCCUGUUCGAUGGCAAGCAUGACUCGGACCUCCGAGGGUCGCGUGACCUUCCGCCCGGCGCUCUCGAACCAGCCUUGCGCCAGAUUGAAAUCUCUCACUCGGCCGCAACCAUUUCUCGACAGAAAGACUCGCCGAGGAUCGCAGAUCCGAGAUAUAGUGGACAAUCGUUUAUAGAGAUGCGACAUAGCAUCCGAGCUGACCGAGAGAGCAUCCUCGUAGACGAUGGGGAUACCCACGGAAGGAUCAUCCGUCUUCGGCGAAAUACUGGAUUCGAAACAACGAGGGAGGACGGAGGACGAUUAUGGCAACCAUAGUAAGUACGCAAGUCCAACAUUGGCACGUAAACAUCGUGAAAAUCUUGAGCCCAGAUACAUCCAGUUAAUACAGAUUUAUAUAAACAUCAACAUCGAGACAUCGAGAUAUAGUCGAAACGUACUCUUUGGUUGCCAAUCUCAUUCUUGACCUCGUUCUCCCUUUCUCAUAUAUUAAUAUACGAAAACAGAAACCUGAGAGUGAGCAUGUGCAAAUACAAGUCCUAAUUUAAGCGCGUAUCGAUAUAAAAUGGAAAUGGAAAAAGGAAAGAGAGAGAGAGGGAGGAUGUAGAGUACUGAUGUUCAAAGUACAAGCAGUAUUCGAACAACACGCUCGGUGUAGAAUAACCGCAUUUUGCGGUGAUGGAAAAUUUUUAUUCGAAUUUCCAGCAUACUUCCAUAUUAAACAGUCUCAAAAAUUAUCACAGAUAACAACGGUGUAUAGUUCUUCAUCUGCUUUAUUUAAUUACGCCAAACGAAGAAAGAUUUCUUUUCAAAAAGCAUCUGGACUGACGUUAUUAAUUAAUAUCAGGAAGAAAGACUUGGCAUGGCAACAAGAAUUCGAUUUAAAGACAUUUCUUGUACUGAAUGUAUACCUAUUAUAAUUUUCAACAUCCCUACUAUGGAUUGAUGAUCGGAUCUAAACUCGUUUCAGGGAAAAUUUUUGGGUGCAACACUGAUUAAACUACUAGAAAAUUAGUGUUUAUCAGGUAUCACAAACUGGAUCCAGGAAUCAGGCGCUAUUAAUAAAUUCAUCUUUAAGGACCAUGUGUGAAGAAGAUGUGGAAUCCCAACUAAAUGCAAUCUUUUGAGUCAAUAUCAACAGUGUAUUUACAUCAUAAUUCAUUCUAACAUCCAAAAGAGCAAUUUUACUCACAAAAAUGCAAUUUUAAUUGCGUAAUGUAAGUAAUAUAUGUAUUGCAAUAUUAAAUUUUGUGUGCAAAUUUUUAUAUAUAAGUUGUUAGCAGUAUAGAAAAAGUAAAAAAGACUAAUUCAAUCCAGACAAAAAAAACAAGGUUCAGCUUGAGGUUGGGUAUGUGGUUCUUUGAUAAAAUAAUAACAAAACUGAUAAUAAAUUCCAAAUAAAUCAAAAUUUACAAACAAUAAAUAUAAAUAUAAAAUAUAAAUAAAUAUAAAUUUAACAAUAAUAAAUUGCAAAAUUUUUAACUUUGAUUUUAAUUGAAACAACAGAUUUAAAUUUUGCUAUUUGUUUAAAAGCAGCAAACUUUUAACGUUGUUUCUUACUUUCUUUUGACGUAUCAAAAUUUCAAUUUUUAAUUAUGUCUUUUAAAGAAGUUCUAAUUCCUUAUGAAAUGUUGGUAUGUUGAAUAAUCAGCUUUGUUAACAUUUUCAAUAAUAUGGCACAUUCAGGCUCUGUCUGGCCCUUUUUUCCAGCUUGAUUAGUCUUUUUUACACAUGAGUCCAUUAUUGUGAGUUAAAAGCAAGGUAAAUUUUAUUCUGCGGAUUUUACUUUCCAAACAGUAAAAUUAUAUUGUUUAAAAAUGUGAUUCUUUCAUUCGAAUUCUUAGACAGUUGUUGAUUCUCAUUAAAAAAAAAUUGAUUAAAUGUAAGCAAUGAAAAUUUUCUCAACCGAGCGUUUGCAUAAUUUAAAAACUAUAAUUUAAAUAUAAUUUAGUUUAGGCCGACAAUAGUGAGAUUAAUUCUAUAUUAGAAAUAAAUAAAUUAAUCUAUAAAUUAAUCUUCAGUAAGUUUCAAAAUGCUAGUACAUACUGCAAAAUCAAAUUUAAUUUCUAGUCGUAUAAUUUGUCAUAUGUAAGAUAGGAUCGUAAUAGGAUCUAAUGAAAAAACUAUUUGUAGUCUAUAAUCUAGUCAAAACUUCGAUGUUAAUAGAAAUUUUCGACUUCUAAUCAAACGUAUUUCUAAUACAUAACAUAUCUUUAAUAUAAAACUAUCAAUCUAGUCAAGAAUUUCAAAUAUUUACCUAAUCCCCAUCUAAUAAAGAUACAUAUAGCAAUAUUAGUUGUCGCAAAAUCUAGUCAAUUCAUUUUUUAGUUUCGUCGUAUUAAUUGUAAAACUAUCAUUAUUCGAUUAUAAAAAUUAUUUAUUUAGUUCGUAUUGUGGUACAGCACUAAUAUUAUAAAAUCUAAUUUUAAAAUAGAAUUAAUCUCUAAGCCUAGAUAUAAACUCAGUCGCGGCAAAAAAUCGCGUUUGAAAAAAAAUUGAUUAAAAAAGUACAAAUCUUUCUUUAAAUUCCUUAAAUAGCUCGCUGAGUAAUAUAUUCUUUUAAAUUCAAGAAUAAUCAGUUUUCAUAUGAUCUCCUUACAAUGUAUACAUUAUUUUAUACUAGAUUAGUAUUAAUAUUAGGUAAAAUUGACUAAAGCACAUAAAAAUUUAAUUGGUUUACUAUUAUCUAAAGUCUUGCAAUUCUAGUCAUACUUAAUAUAUUUAUAGUUGUAUUCCAAGUCAUUUCUAUUCAAUCACUUAGUCCAUUGAUGUAGUUAAUUUAAUAUUUGAUGCAUGAUAUGCAGGCCACUAAUAAAUGCAAUCUUUUCUUAAAUCUUAGAGCGCACGGUUCGUUAUCGUGGCAUAACAGUUAAUCGUCUUAUCGACAUUAUCCUUACAUUUAUAUGUUUGUAUAUUACGUCACGAAGACCGUGGAUGCGGUGCCAUAGAAAAUUUUUAGAAACUAAAAUUAUACCAAAAAAUGAUGCUAGUCCAUGGACGCUAUGCCAUAUGACACUUACACCAAAGAAUGAUGCUAGUCAUUUCCUUAGACGAUCGAACCAUUUUCCAUCUUUGUCUUAUAAUUCUCAGUCUUUGGAAGCACACAUAUAAUUCUUCUAGAGCAGUACUUAAUUUAAUUAUACUAUAAAUUUGCGUGUAAAUAGUCUAGUUAAUACCAGGUAUUAUAUAUAUAAGUUUAAUGCUUAAUAAUAAAGCACUUUUCUUUUGAUAAGAAUCUUACUUAAAAAUGAAAUAAUAAACAUGUAGAUUUAAUUUAAUGAUAAAUUAAUUUAUAAAUUGUAACAUAUUUUGGGAAACGUGCCAGUAUUGUGAUCAUUUAAAAUUGAUCCUUGAAUUGUAGACAUUAAUAAUUGAGGAGCAAUAAAUUAUUACUUGCUCUUUUUAAUAAAGAGAAGGCUUAAUUAGUAUAAUGUAGGUAAUAAAGAAGGACAAGCUUGUGAAUUUUAUAUAAAGUGCCUGUUUACAUUAUUUAACUCUUUUAUACUUAAUUUACACGCAAAAACAAGAUGUCCUCAAUGGCAGCUACCCAUGUAGAAAAGAGGCAGCACUUGUGUACUGUUAGGAUAAAGUACGUUAGGAAAAAAGGAAUCAUUUCACAUUUCCUUGUUUUUUAUAACUUUUAAAAAAUAGAAUUUUUUGUUUAAAUAUUUAUUUGAAAAAUUUUACACCUUUCUCUCAAAUAAUAUAAAAUUUUCAAACUUUAUUCUAAAUAUAUUAUUUUAUAAAAAAUCAUUAAUUUUUAAGAUUAAAAUUAAAAUUAAUCAAAAUCUCUCAUUGCUAAAUUUUUGCAAAUCUUUGAUGAAUGUUUCAUGAAUCUUUGAUAAAUCUUUGGAAAUUUUUUGCAAUAAUGAUAAUAACAUGAGAUAAUAUUGUGAUGAUAUCAUUGAUGAAAUGGUUAUUUGUUUCAUCAUGUUCCUUUACACAUACUAUCUGAGUAAGAAAAUAUCUUGUGUCACUUUGCUUUAAAAAGCUUUUAUAUUUUAAUCCAUUUGCAAAAAAAGAUUUAUCAAAAAUUUACUACACAUUCAUUAAAGAUUAAUGAAUAGCAAAUAAUUUUAAAAAUUUGUUAAAGUUACAAGUCAAAAAUAUAAAGAUCUAUAAAUAAUUCACAGAUUUAUCAAAAAUUCAUUAAAGAUUUAGCAAACCUUUACCAAAAAUUUAUUAAGAAUUUACUAAAAACUUGUCAAAAAUGCAUUAAUUGUUCACCAAAGAUUUAUCCAAAGAUUUGCUGAAGAUUCAUUAAAGAUUCUCUAAAGAUUUACCAAAGAUUUAUUUACCAAAGAUUCAUAAAAACUUUAUCAAAAAUUCACCAAAUACAUAUUUACCAAAAAUUCGCCAAACAUUUAUCAACAUGAUAUCAUCACAGUAUUAUCCCAUAUUAUUAUCAUUAUUACUAAAAAUUUGUCCAAAGAUUUAUUAUCGAAGACCAAAAAGGAGAUAUAAAAUGAUUCAAUAGAAAAUUGUAAGAUUAAUUUAAUAUUAAGUUCCUGUUUUUAUCCUAUAAGUUUGGGCAUUUAUCAAAUCCGAUUAAUUAUCCUUUUCAAGUAUUAAAUUGGCUGUGUUUAUUUUUAUAUUUCACAAUAAUAUAUUAUUUUAAUAAUUCAUCAUGUUAAUAUUUUUUUACGUAUUUUAGUCAAAAAGUUCAAAUUGUAUCAUCUUUAUGAUUUGACGCAGAAAUCAUAAAAAAUAUAUUUAAUUUAGAUCAUACCUUUAUAAAGUAUUUGAAAACUAAACAAAUUUAAUCUAAUUUGUUUAGUAUUUACAAAUUUCAUUUCUAUCGCGUAGCAGAUUGGAAUUAAUGUAGUGGCCAACUUUGUGGAAAAUUUGAUUUAAGUUUGCAUAAACGAACCAUACGUAAGAAUUAACAUUAAUCUCACUAGUCAGCAUAUCAAUAUAAACAACGAUGUAAAAUUAUAAGUAUUCCUUUUAAUUCUAUUUUAUAAGUUAAUUGUGUUUAAUAUAAAUUUCAAUUAGUACAAAUUAAUUUUAUUGUUGGCGCUUAAUGUACAAAGCAAUCAUUAUAAUCAUAAACCGAAAACAUUAAUUAAAUCUUAGCCAAAAAUAUAUAAAAAAUGAAAAAAUUAAUUGAAUCUAAUUUUAAUAAAGAAUUUUUGUUUUUAACGUAACAAGAAAUACAAUUUAUCCCAUUUGCUUAAUUCGUAAACAAUGAAAUAUAAGUAAUAUAAGAAUUAUUUUUCGAAAGAUAAAUAGUAUGUUUAAAUGAAAUUGACUCAAAUUGUCAUUGAUUUUAUAUUUUUGGCUAAUAUACGUAAUUAUUUACGAGUGGUAUCUAGUCAAAAAGCUCAUGGACGACUAACUCGAAAUGUUUCACCAAGAGAGGACUUGGCAGAUCUCGAAAAAUCACAUGCAGAAAUAUUCACCAGAUAAUAUUACGUAAUUAUGUAAUAUUGAAUCAAUUUAUAACUCACCUUUUGAAAUGUUUAUAUUAAAUCAAAAUAUUUUAACAUUUUUUAUGGUUGACGUUGAUCUAUUUAAUGCUACGAAUGCUUCAAAGUCUUUUGUAAUGGUAAAUAAACCGUAGCAAUUGUCAAAUAUUUUUAUGACAUUAAAUAAUGAUGACGUUAAACAUGUAUAAAUAUAUAAUAUAUUUAAUUUAAAACUCUAUGUUCAAUAUUCAUAUUUUCAUAUGACAAGCAUAAAAAAAGAAAAAUUAAUUGAUUAUCUAAUAUCUAAGUCUACAAAUAUCUUGUAAUCCUUGCUAAAGAGAUAAUCUGAUUUAAAAGUUAAUUUUUUAUUACAUAAUUACGUUUGAUUAAAAUGCACUGAUUUGGUAACUAUAAUUUAUUUACUCACGAUCUCGAGUCGUCUUCUCUUGGCUUACGUAGUAGAGCACACGAUCUCAGUCUAUGGAAAUAGUAAUUGUAAUAGCCUGUAACAAUGCGUAAAAUUUAAUUUGUAAAUAUCUUUUCGAUAAGAAAAAUUAAGUAGCUACAGUAUAAGUCUUGUAUUAUUUAUUACACACGUACAUUACAGUCUUGUAUCUCAUUACACAAAUCGAUGUGUAAUAUCGAAUUAUGUAAUGAGAAUUUAAUUAUUAAUAUUUUAUAAGAUAAAUAUAAUGGAAAACAAAUGAUUAAUUUUUAUCUUUAUUUAUUAUUUAUUAUUUCAAAGACCAAUACAUGUAAAAUGUGUAACAAAUAUAUCGCGAUAUAUAUUUAUAUUAUCUAUAUUAAACAUCUUUCUAGCGUGAGGAGUUUGUCGCGUGAAAUAUUUAUUGCUUUCAAUGUGGUUUGAUAAUUUUCGUAGAGUCUAAGUAUGCCGUAUAUGAUGCAUUUAAUCACUUAUUUACUCCACGUAUUUAAUAUUCCCUUAUAUCUCUUAUUGCGAUAAUUUAUGUGUAUAAUUAUAUAAUAUUUAAUCUAUUUAAUUCACCAUUUGUCGUAUUUAUACAUCUAUUUAUUUAAUACUUAUCAUUACAAAACAUUGUAUUUGCGUGUGCGUUAUAAUAGAAUCAUGUGUGAAACGUAUUCUAUAUUAUAAACUGUCAUAAAAUAUCAAAAUAUGCCAUGUAAUACAUAUAAUUGAAAUAUUGGAACAUGCGCGCACGCGCACGCACACACACAUCUGUUAAUUCUGAAAUGUAUCGUUCCGAAAUCAUUAUCGUGGCGCAUUAGAUUGAAUUAGAGUAAAAUGUCGAUUAUCUGCGUAAAUUGGCAGACAGUAAUCUACCAUUAUCAUGCAUGAGCAUUUGUGUAAAACAUUUAGAGAAAAAAAGAAAUUAAGAUAUAAUAAAUAAUAUAAAGAUAUAAACACAAUACAGCAAAUGAGCAUUAUUUACGAAUUUUUGUUUAAACUUGAUAAUCGACAUUAUAUUUGAUUUUUAUGCGAACAAAAAUAACUUCUCCAUUUUUUCGUAUGCUGCUAUAUUUAUAAGAACCAUCUUGAUAAAUAAAUUCUGUAACAUU